GCUUCCACCAUCUUUCAAUGUGAAACCCCUGGGUCACUGUCACCACCACCAGAUGGACUUUGGACUUCCCAGCCUCAGAAACUCUCCCACUCUGCCUGGUGCUCAAGGGACAGAUGGCUCUGAGCACCUCCCCCGACUGCUCCUCAUGCCCAUGGUGGUCAAAGGGGGCACCGCUCCACGACUUGUGGCUUUCCCACCUGCCCAGUGCUUCAGAUUGAAGUGAGCAGUGACUACUUCCUGAUCCCCUGGCUGCAGCUCCCCAGACCUUUUCCCCACCCCACUCUCCAGCUCCUCCCGCAUUCGUGUAAGCCCUGAUUUCCACAGUAAGCCCCUUAUUUCUGGAAUAUAUGUAGUGGCUCUGUUUUCCUGACCAAACUCAUGGAUAAGUUGUUGUCUUUUUAAAUAACAGAAGCAGAGGUCUGGAGAACAAAACCUUAAAGAUGAGAGUCAGAAAGUUGUUGACUGCCUGGUUCUAUGCAAAGGUAUUUACUACCUCCUUGCCACUAACAAAUGGAGCGCUGGUGCGUUUUCAUGCACACAGUCCAAACAGUGACCUAAAUUAUUACUGUGAGUCACAUAGAGUCAAGUGCUCACAGAAGCAAGGCCUGGGUGACAGUGGCCGCUGCGAUAAAAUGUGAUGGUAAAAAUAAAGGGUUUACACGCCAUGAA
Cynocephalus volans (Philippine flying lemur) is the source of this 669-nucleotide long non-coding RNA. RefSeq lists it as uncharacterized. The record is from RefSeq and is a predicted model, not a curated record. The transcript has 2 exons. Lineage: Eukaryota; Metazoa; Chordata; Mammalia; Dermoptera; Cynocephalidae.